This 336-nucleotide ribosomal RNA is filed under the name uncultured Cortinarius. RNAcentral's name for it is "eukaryotic LSU rRNA". The stretch from base 1 to 72 matches the Rfam family "5.8S ribosomal RNA", at positions 83 to 154 of the family's 154-position model. The record is from RNAcentral. Lineage: Eukaryota; Fungi; Basidiomycota; Agaricomycetes; Agaricales; Cortinariaceae.
GUUGAGUCAUCGAAUCUUUGAACGCACCUUGCGCUCCUUGGUAUUCCGAGGAGCAUGCCUGUUUGAGUGUCAUUAAUAUAUCAACCUCCUCAGGUUCUUGACUUGUCGAGUGUUUGGAUGUGGGGGUCUUUUGCUAGUCUCUUUUGAGGUCGGCUCCCCUAAAGUGCAUUAGCGGAACAAUUUGUUGACCCGUUCAUUGGUGUGAUAACUAUCUACGCUUUUGACGUGAAACAGGUUCAGCUUCUAACAGUCCAUUGACUUUGACAAACUUUCAUUAAUGUGACCUCAAACCAGGUAGGACUACCCGCUGAACUUAAGCAUAUCAAUAAGCGGAGG